This 500-nucleotide ribosomal RNA is filed under the name uncultured eukaryote. RNAcentral describes it as "SSU rRNA". It matches the Rfam family "Eukaryotic small subunit ribosomal RNA", at positions 33 to 537 of the family's 1831-position model. The record is from RNAcentral.
ACUGUCCAGAUUAGCCAUGCAUGUCUCAGUAUAAGCUUCUAUACGGCGAAACUGCGAAUGGCUCAUUAAAACAGUUAUAGUUUAUUUGGUGGUCAGCAAUUACAUGGAUAACCGUGGUAAUUCUAGAGCUAAUACAUGCGCCCAAACCCGACUUCGUGGAAGGGUUGUGUUUAUUAGAUACAGAACCAACCCAGGCUCCGCCUGGCCUUGAGGUGAUUCAUAAUAACCGAACGAAUCGCAUGGCUAUGCCGGCGAUAGACCAUUCAAGUUUCUGACCUAUCAGCUAUCGUCGGUAGGGUAUUGGCCUACCGUGGCAAUGACGGGUAACGGAGAAUUAGGGUUCGAUUCCGGAGAGGGAGCCUGAGAAACGGCUACCACAUCUAAGGAAGGCAGCAGGCGCGCAAAUUACCCAAUCCUGACGCAGGGAGGUAGUGACAAGAAAUAACAAUACAGGGCAUACAUGUCUUGUAAUUGGAAUGAGUAAACUUUAAAUCACUUUA